Sapajus apella (tufted capuchin) is the source of this 269-nucleotide long non-coding RNA. RefSeq lists it as uncharacterized. Lineage: Eukaryota; Metazoa; Chordata; Mammalia; Primates; Cebidae. The record is from RefSeq and is a predicted model, not a curated record. The transcript is spliced from 2 exons.
UCCACUGUUCUGUCAGAUAAUGCCAACUUAACUAAACUCUGAACCUUGUUUUAGGAGAACCAAGGUACUCACAAUUUUUCAAAAAUCUUUUUAUCUUGAAUUAAUUAUUACUCAUAGGAUGUGGUAAAAAUUGCACGAAGAGUCUCACAUACACUUCAAAUCAUUUUCUCCAGAGGUGACAUCUUAUAUAGCUACAGUACAGUAUCAAAACCACAGCAGUGGUUUUGGUACAUUAUUGUUAACCACAAGCCUUGUUAAACUGUCACCAU